GAUGAACGCUGGCGGCGUGCCUAAUACAUGCAAGUCGAGCGAACAGACGAGGAGCUUGCUCCUCUGACGUUAGCGGCGGACGGGUGAGUAACACGUGGAUAACCUACCUAUAAGACUGGGAUAACUUCGGGAAACCGGAGCUAAUACCGGAUAAUAUAUUGAACCGCAUGGUUCAAUAGUGAAAGACGGUUUUGCUGUCACUUAUAGAUGGAUCCGCGCCGCAUUAGCUAGUUGGUAAGGUAACGGCUUACAAAGGCAACGAUGCGUAGCCGACCUGAGAGGGUGAUCGGCCACACUGGAACUGAGACACGGUCCAGACUCCUACGGGAGGCAGCAGUAGGGAAUCUUCCGCAAUGGGCGAAAGCCUGACGGAGCAACGCCGCGUGGGUGAUGAAGGUCUUCGGAUCGUAAAACUCUGUUAUUAGGGAAGAACAAAUGUGUAAGUAACUAUGCACGUCUUGACGGUACCGAAUCAGAAAGCCACGGCUAACUACGU
This 496-nucleotide ribosomal RNA is filed under the name uncultured bacterium. Its description in RNAcentral is "partial 16S ribosomal RNA". It matches the Rfam family "Bacterial small subunit ribosomal RNA", at positions 28 to 506 of the family's 1533-position model. The record is from RNAcentral.